This 437-nucleotide ribosomal RNA is filed under the name uncultured Oscillospiraceae bacterium. RNAcentral's name for it is "bacterial SSU rRNA". It matches the Rfam family "Bacterial small subunit ribosomal RNA", at positions 341 to 792 of the family's 1533-position model. The record is from RNAcentral. Lineage: Bacteria; Bacillati; Bacillota; Clostridia; Eubacteriales; Oscillospiraceae.
ACGGAAGGCAGCAGUGGGGAAUAUUGGGCAAUGGGCGAAAGCCUGACCCAGCGACGCCGCGUGAGGGAAGAAGGUCUUCGGAUUGUAAACCUUAGUCAACAGGGAAGAAGCAAGUGACGGUACCUGUGGAGGAAGCCACGGCUAACUACGUGCCAGCAGCCGCGGUAAUACGUAGGUGGCGAGCGUUAUCCGGAUUUACUGGGUGUAAAGGGCGCGUAGGCGGGGAUGCAAGUCAGAUGUGAAAUCCAUGGGCUUAACUCAUGAACUGCAUUUGAAACUGUAUCUCUUGAGUGUCGGAGAGGUAGAUGGAAUUCCUAGUGUAGCGGUGAAAUGCGUAGAUAUUAGGAGGAACACCAGUGGCGAAGGCGAUCUACUGGACGAUAACUGACGCUGAGGCGCGAAAGCGUGGGGAGCAAACAGGAUUAGAUACCCUGGUA